GGGGAAUUUUGGACAAUGGGGGCAACCCUGAUCCAGCCAUCCCGCGUGUGCGAUGAAGGCCUUCGGGUUGUAAAGCACUUUUGGCAGGGAAGAAACAGCCUGGGCUAAUAUCCCGGGCGACUGACGGUACCUGCAGAAUAAGCACCGGCUAACUACGUGCCAGCAGCCGCGGUAAUACGUAGGGUGCAAGCGUUAAUCGGAAUUACUGGGCGUAAAGCGUGCGCAGGCGGUUCGGAAAGAAAGGUGUGAAAUCCCAGGGCUUAACCUUGGAACUGCACUUUUAACUACCGGGCUAGAGUACGUCAGAGGGGGGUAGAAUUCCACGUGUAGCAGUGAAAUGCGUAGAGAUGUGGAGGAACACCGAUGGCGAAGGCAGCCCCCUGGGAUGAUACUGACGCUCAUGCACGAAAGCGUGGGGAGCAAACA
RNAcentral lists this ribosomal RNA (426 nucleotides) under uncultured bacterium. Its description in RNAcentral is "bacterial SSU rRNA". It matches the Rfam family "Bacterial small subunit ribosomal RNA", at positions 356 to 774 of the family's 1533-position model. The record is from RNAcentral.